GUGCUUGCUUCGGCAGUACCUAUACUUAAAUUGGAAUGAUACACAGAAGAUUGGCCGGGCCUCUGUGCAAGGAGGACAUGUAAAUUCGUGGAACAUUCCAUAUUUUU
Small nuclear RNA from Ursus americanus (American black bear), 107 nucleotides. The record is from Ensembl. NCBI's taxonomy places the organism in Eukaryota, Metazoa, Chordata, Mammalia, Carnivora, Ursidae.